GACGAACGCUGGCGGCGUGCCUAAUACAUGCAAGUUGAGCGCUGAAGGUUGGUACUUGUACCAACUGGAUGAGCAGCGAACGGGUGAGUAACGCGUGGGGAAUCUGCCUUUGAGCGGGGGACAACAUUUGGAAACGAAUGCUAAUACCGCAUAAAAACUUUAAACACAAGUUUUAAGUUUGAAAGAUGCAAUUGCAUCACUCAAAGAUGAUCCCGCGUUGUAUUAGCUAGUUGGUGAGGUAAAGGCUCACCAAGGCGAUGAUACAUAGCCGACCUGAGGGGGUGAACGGGCAAAUUGGGACUGGGACACGGCCCAAAAUUCUACGGGGAGGAACAGGAGGGGAACUUCGGCAAUGGACGAAAGUCUGACCGAGCAACGCCGCGGGAGUGAAGAAGGUUUUCGGGUCGUAAAACUCUGUUGGUAGGGAAGAACGUUGGUGAGAGUGGAAAGCUCAUCAAGUGACGGUAACUACCCAGAAAGGGACGGCUAACUACGUG
Molecule: ribosomal RNA, 497 nt
Filed under: uncultured bacterium
Lineage: Bacteria
Description: partial 16S ribosomal RNA
Rfam family: Bacterial small subunit ribosomal RNA
Source: RNAcentral